RNAcentral lists this ribosomal RNA (1254 nucleotides) under metagenome. RNAcentral describes it as "bacterial LSU rRNA". It matches the Rfam family "Bacterial large subunit ribosomal RNA", at positions 1627 to 2870 of the family's 2925-position model. The record is from RNAcentral.
UCAGCUAUAGAUUGACCGUACCGCAAACCGACACUGGUGCGCGAGAUGAGUAUUCUAAGGCGCUUGAGAGAACUCUGGAGAAGGAACUCGGCAAAUUGACACCGUAACUUCGGAAGAAGGUGUGCCUUUAGUAGGUGAACCAUUUACUUGGGGAGCCCAAUGAGGUUGCAAAGAAUCGGUGGCUGCAACUGUUUAAUAAAAACACAGCACUCUGCAAAGACGAAAGUCGACGUAUGGGGUGUGACGCCUGCCCGGUGCUGGAAGAUUAAUUGAUGGGGUGCAAGCUCUUGAUCGAAGUCCCAGUAAACGGCGGCCGUAACUAUAACGGUCCUAAGGUAGCGAAAUUCCUUGUCGGGUAAGUUCCGACCUGCACGAAUGGCGUAAUGAUGGCCACACUGUCUCCUCCAGAGACUCAGCGAAGUUGAAAUGUUUGUGAUGAUGCAAUCUCCCCGCGGAAAGACGGAAAGACCCCAUGAACCUUUACUGUAGCUUUACAUUGGACUUUGAACAGAUCUGUGUAGGAUAGGUGGGAGGCUUUGAAGCGGCGGCGCUAGCUGUCGUGGAGCCAACGUUGAAAUACCACCCUGGUGUGUUUGAGGUUCUAACCUUGUCCCGUUAUCCGGGAUGGGGACAGUGUAUGGUGGGCAGUUUGACUGGGGCGGUCUCCUCCCAAAGUGUAACGGAGGAGUUCGAAGGUACGCUAGAUACGGUCGGAAAUCGUGUUGAUAGUGCAUUGGCAUAAGCGUGCUUGACUGCGAGACUGACAAGUCGAGCAGGUACGAAAGUAGGACAAAGUGAUCCGGUGGUUCUGUAUGGAAGGGCCAUCGCUCAACGGAUAAAAGGUACUCUGGGGAUAACAGGCUGAUACCGCCCAAGAGUUCAUAUCGACGGCGGUGUUUGGCACCUCGAUGUCGGCUCAUCUCAUCCUGGGGCUGUAGCCGGUCCCAAGGGUAUGGCUGUUCGCCAUUUAAAGAGGUACGUGAGCUGGGUUUAAAACGUCGUGAGACAGUUUGGUCCCUAUCUUCCGUGGGCGCUGCAAGAUUGAGAGAGCCUGCUCCUAGUACGAGAGGACCGGAGUGGACGCACCUCUGGUGUAUCGGUUGUCACGCCAGUGGCAUUGCCGAGUAGCUAAGUGCGGAAGAGAUAACCACUGAAAGCAUCUAAGCGGGAAACUCGUCUCAAGAUGAGUCUUGCCGGGGCCUUGAGCCCCCUGAAGAGUCGUUCAAGACCAGGACGUUGAUAGGUUGGGUGUGG